ACUGGCGCACGGGUGAGUAACACGUGGAUAUCUACCCUUUACACAGACAUAACUCAGGGAAACUUGAGCUAAUAUCUGAUGAGGCCUCCGGGUCAAAGCUUCGGCGGUAAAGGAUGAGUCUGCGUCUGAUUAGCUAGUUGGUAAGGUAAUGGCUUACCAAGGCGACGAUCAGUAACUGGUCUGAGAGGACGAUCAGUCACACUGGAACUGAGACACGGUCCAGACUCCUACGGGAGGCAGCAGUGAGGAAUUUUGGACAAUGGGGGAAACCCUGAUCCAGCGACGCCGCGUGUGGGAUGAAUGGGUUUGCCCUGUAAACCACUGUCAGCAGAGAAGAAAAGGUUCCUUUGGAACCCGGGACUGUAUCUGCAGAGGAAGGACCGGCUAACUACGUGCCAGCAGCCGCGGUAAUACGUAGGGUCCAAGCGUUAUCCGGAAUUACUGGGUAUAAAGGGUGCGUAGGCGGCCUUGUGCGUCGAAGGUUAAAGGCCAUGGCUCAACCAUGGAAAUGCCCUCGAUACGGCAAGGCUUGAGUAUGAGAGAGGAAGAUGGAAUUCCUGGUGUAGCAGUGAAAUGCGUAGAUAUCAGGAGGAACACCGGUGGCGAAGGCGGUCUUCUGGCUCAUUACUGACGCUGAGGCACGAAAGUGUGGGGAGCGAACAGGAUUAGAUACCCUGGUAGUCCACACCGA
This 691-nucleotide ribosomal RNA is filed under the name uncultured bacterium. RNAcentral's name for it is "bacterial SSU rRNA". It matches the Rfam family "Bacterial small subunit ribosomal RNA", at positions 94 to 803 of the family's 1533-position model. The record is from RNAcentral.